AGAGUUUGAUCCUGGCUCAGAACGAACGCUGGCGGCGUGCCUAACACAUGCAAGUCGAGCGCGAAUGGAGCAAUCCUAGUAGAGCGGCGCACGGGUGCGUAACACGUGGAUAAUCUGCCUGGGUGUCUGGGAUAACCAGUCGAAAGAUUGGCUAAUACCGGAUAAGCCCCCGGGAGCUUCGGCUCUUGAGGGAAAAGGUGGCCUCUGUAUACAAGCUAUCACAUCCAGAUGAGUCCGCGGCCCAUCAGCUAGUUGGCGGGGUAAUGGCCCACCAAGGCAACGACGGGUAGCUGGUCUGAGAGGACGAUCAGCCACACUGGAACUGAGACACGGUCCAGACUCCUACGGGAGGCAGCAGUGGGGAAUUUUGCGCAAUGGGCGAAAGCCUGACGCAGCAACGCCGCGUGUGUGAUGAAGGUCUUCGGAUUGUAAAGCACUUUCGACCGGGACGAAAAACCCUCUGGCCAACACCCAGGGGCUUGACGGUACCGGGAGAAGAAGCACCGGCUAACUCUGUGCCAGCAGCCGCGGUAAUACAGAGGGUGCAAGCGUUGUUCGGAAUUAUUGGGCGUAAAGCGCGUGUAGGCGGCUUUGCAAGUCGGGUGUGAAAGCCCUCAGCUCAACUGAGGAAGUGCGCCCGAAACUGCAGAGCUUGAGUGCCGGAGAGGGUGGCGGAAUUCCCCAAGUAGAGGUGAAAUUCGUAGAUAUGGGGAGGAACACCGGUGGCGAAGGGGCCACCUGGACGGUAACUGACGCUGAGACGCGAAAGCUGGGGAGCAAACAGGAUUAGAUACCCUAGUAGUCC
Molecule: ribosomal RNA, 805 nt
Filed under: uncultured bacterium
Lineage: Bacteria
Description: bacterial SSU rRNA
Rfam family: Bacterial small subunit ribosomal RNA
Source: RNAcentral